UCCUGGCUGGCUCAAUUCGUAGAGCGUGUGCCUCUCAAUCAUGGGAUCAUGAGUUCAAGCCCCAUGCUGGGCG
Molecule: transfer RNA, 73 nt
Filed under: Felis catus (domestic cat)
Lineage: Eukaryota; Metazoa; Chordata; Mammalia; Carnivora; Felidae
Also listed under: 2 other names
Rfam family: tRNA
About the family: Transfer RNA (tRNA) molecules are approximately 80 nucleotides in length. Their secondary structure includes four short double-helical elements and three loops (D, anti-codon, and T loops).
Source: Rfam by way of RNAcentral